CGGAUUGUAGGCUGCAACCCGCCUGCAUGAAGUUGGAAUUGCUAGUAAUCGCGGAUCAGCAUGCCGCGGUGAAUACGUUCCCGGGGAUUGUACACACCGCCCGUCACACCAUGAGAGUCGGGAACACCCGAAGUCGGUAGCCUAACCGUAAGGAGGGCGCCGCCGAAGGUGGGAUUGAUGACUGGGGUGAAGUCGUAACAAGGUAGC
RNAcentral lists this ribosomal RNA (207 nucleotides) under uncultured bacterium. RNAcentral describes it as "partial 16S ribosomal RNA". It matches the Rfam family "Bacterial small subunit ribosomal RNA", at positions 1294 to 1500 of the family's 1533-position model. The record is from RNAcentral.